Long non-coding RNA from Venturia canescens, 648 nucleotides. RefSeq lists it as uncharacterized. The transcript has 3 exons. The record is from RefSeq and is a predicted model, not a curated record. NCBI's taxonomy places the organism in Eukaryota, Metazoa, Arthropoda, Insecta, Hymenoptera, Ichneumonidae.
UGAGUAAUCGGAGUUUAGCAUGCCAAUCAAAAUUCAAAAGCUGUUUUUUGUAAUAAAUCAAAUAAAAAACUAUGCGAACAUAAAAAAAAAUGUGGAAUCGUGUUAAAAAUCCGAUCGAUUUGGGAGUAUAUAAAGGCCUUCCUAUCCUCGUGGAUCACAUCAAACACAUCUCGCUGAAAAACACUGUUGCUUCGUCGAGAACUUUCAUAUUCCGACCAUAAGAGAAUUCAACAAGUGAAAAAUGAAGUUCAGCGUCUGUGUGGUCACGAUUGCGCUGUUUAUGGUGGCCACUGUUGAUGGUAAGCGUGCAGUGGUCGAAGCGGAUCUUUGCAAACCAGAAAGUCUGGCCGUCUACGCGCCAGAGGGCCUGCGGGGAAUUUGUGCAUCGUUCAUAGAAGGAGGUCUCAGACCGUCAAAUGGGAAAUAUCAUUACGAUGCUCCAUACGCUCGCAAUUAUUGGAAGCCCCGAAAGCCGACCAAGAAGCGGGUUGUACCAUAAAUGAUUUUAUGCCAUCGAGCCACUCCAUUCUCUAUGGCUUAUCAAUCCUAUAUUAAAUACGAUACAAGGCCGUUGUGUGCACAAAUUCAAAUAAUUUCGUUCAUCUUUAUUUCCAUGUUUUGUAAUACUGGCACGCAUUGAAUUGAAAA